CUGAGUGGCGGACGGGUGAGUAACGCGUGGGUAACCUGCCCUGUACAGGGGGAUAACAGCUGGAAACGGCUGCUAAUACCGCAUAAGCGCACGAGGAGACAUCUUCUUGUGUGAAAAACUCCGGUGGUACAGGAUGGGCCCGCGUCUGAUUAGCUGGUUGGCAGGGUAACGGCCUACCAAGGCAACGAUCAGUAGCCGGUCUGAGAGGAUGAACGGCCACAUUGGAACUGAGACACGGUCCAAACUCCUACGGGAGGCAGCAGUGGGGAAUAUUGCACAAUGGGGGAAACCCUGAUGCAGCAACGCCGCGUGAGUGAAGAAGGCUUUCGGGUUGUAAACUUCUUUUGUCGGGGACGAGUAGAAGACGGUACCUGGCGAAUAAGCCACGGCUAACUACGUGCCAGCAGCCGCGGUAAUACGUAGGUGGCAAGCGUUGUCCGGAUUUACUGGGUGUAAAGGGAGUGUAGGCGGGAUAUCAAGUCAGAAGUGAAAAUUACGGGCUCAACUCGUAACCUGCUUUUGAAACUGACAUUCUUGAGUGAAGUAGAGGCAAGCGGAAUUCCCGGUGUAGCGGUGGAAUGCGUAGAUAUCGGGAGGAACACCAGUGGCGAAGGCGGUCUACUGGGCACCAACUGACGCUGAGGCUCGAAAGCAUGGGUAGCAAACAGGAUUAGAUACCCUGGUAGUCCAUGCCGUAAACGAUGAUUACUAGGUGUUGGGGGAUUGACCCCCUCAGUGCCGCAGUUAACACAAUAAGUAAUCCACCUGGGGAGUACGACCGCAAGGUUGAAACUCAAAGGAAUUGACGGGGGCCCGCACAAGCAGUGGAGUAUGUGGUUUAAUUCGAAGCAACGCGAAGAACCUUACCAGGUCUUGACAUCCGAUGCAUAGCACAGAGAUGUGUGAAAUCCUUCGGGACAUCGAGACAGGUGGUGCAUGGUUGUCGUCAGCUCGUGUCGUGAGAUGUUGGGUUAAGUCCCGCAACGAGCGCAACCCUUAUUGCCAGUUACUACGUUAAGAGGACUCUGGCGAGACUGCCGUUGACAAAACGGAGGAAGGUGGGGAUGACGUCAAAUCAUCAUGCCCUUUAUGACCUGGGCUACACACGUACUACAAUGGCGUUAAACAAAGAGAAGCAAGACCGCGAGGUGGAGCAAAACUCAAAAACAACGUCUCAGUUCAGAUUGCAGGCUGCAACUCGCCUGCAUGAAGUCGGAAUUGCUAGUAAUCGCGGAUCAGCAUGCCGCGGUGAAUACGUUCCCGGGCCUUGCAAUCACCGCCCGUCA
RNAcentral lists this ribosomal RNA (1286 nucleotides) under uncultured bacterium. RNAcentral describes it as "bacterial SSU rRNA". It matches the Rfam family "Bacterial small subunit ribosomal RNA", at positions 91 to 1399 of the family's 1533-position model. The record is from RNAcentral.